AAGCCUGCAGGGCCAGCUCUUGGGCUGCCGCCUCCGGGAAGUCUGCUAUGACUUCCUCCCUCCUCUAACAAGCAGUAAGCUUUCCUGCCCAGAGAGGGGAAUUGACCCAGCCAGGAUGACACAGCAAGAGCACAGGCAGGAGCUCAACAUCCUGGAUCACACUGCUUCUGCAUCCCACACACCAGCACCGACCAGCUAGACGUACUUCCAGAGAAGAACGGCACCAGACAACACGCUGAAUAAAGCAGAGUUCAAGGACAGGGGAGCGAAUCUGUGUGCAGAAGUCAGGCCAACGGUGCCCUUUGGGGAGGACCGACUGGAAAGGAUGUGAUGGAGGCUUCUGGGACCUGGACAUGUCUCUUGAUCUGGGUGCUGGGUCAGACUUGAGCCUUGUUCUCCAGAAGUCCCCAGGGAAAACAACUGUUUGAUAUCCUGAACGUGUGAGGAGCUGAAAUGAAGAGCAACACAGCCCGAGGAUCAAGCAAGCCUUUCCACAGGAGGGGUCUUUUUGGCUGGGCUUUGAAGUAUGAAUAGGAGUUCACAAAGGAGACACUUUAGAGGGGGUUUGACAGAAGGUGAAGCCCAGAGGAGUGAGGGGACAUGCCCAAGGUCACACACAGCCAGGGAAAGAUGGCAAGAGGAGGCGUAUUACUUUACUUGCAAAGGGCCUCAGUUUUCUCACCUGUAAAAUGGGGGUGAGGACUUCCCUGGUGUCACAGUGGAUAAGAAUCCACCUGCCAAUGCAGGGGACACGGGUUCGAGCCCUGGUCCGGGAAGAUCCCACGUGCCGUGGAGCAGCUAAGCCAAUGCACCACAACUCCAGAGCCUGUGCUCCAGAGCCUGUGAGCCACAUCUACUGAGCCCUCAUGCCACAACUACUGAAGCCCAUGCUCCUAAAGUCUGCGCUCUGCAAUAAGAGAAGCCACCGCAGUGAGAAGCCUGCGCACUGCAACGAAGCGUAGCCCCUGCUCGCCGCAACUAGACAAAGCCCGCGAGCAGCAACGAAGACCCAACACAGCCAAAAAAUAAAUUAAUUUUUUAAAAAAGGGGGUAAAAACUGUGUGGGGCUGCUGGAAGGAUGAAACCAGAGUGUAAGUCGAGGGGUCAAAAAACAUGCAGCUGGGGCUGCCCUGGUGGCUCAGUGGUUAAGAAUCUGCCUGCCAAUGCAGGGGACACGGGUUCGAGCCCUGGUCCGGGAAGAUCCCACAUGCUGCAGAGCAACUAAGCUCGUGCGCCACAACUACUGAAGCCCGCGUGCCUAGAGCCCGUGCUCCACAACAAGAGAAGCCACCGCAAUGAGAAGCCCGCGCAGCACAACAAAGAGUAGCCCCCGCUGGCCGCAACUAGAGAAAGCCCAUGCAGCAAUGAAGACCCAACCCAGUCAAAAAUAAAGAAAGAAAAUAAAUUUUUUAAAAAAAUUAUUAAAAAAAAAAAAAAAGUAUCCGCCUGCCAAUGCAGGCGACACGGGUUCCAGUCCUGGUCCGGGAAGAUCCCACAUGCUGCAGAGCAACUAGGCCCGUGAGCCGCAACUACUGAGGCUGCGCUCUAGAGCCCACGAGCCACAACUACUGAGCCCACGUGCCACAGCUACUGAAGCCUGUGCGCCUAGAGCCUGUGCUCCACAGCAAGAGAAGCCACUGCAACGAGAAGCCCGUACAACACAACGAAGAGCAGCCCCUGCUCGCCACAGCUAGAGAAAGCCCAUGCGCAGCAACGAAGACCCAACGCAGCCAAAAAUAAAUUAAUU
Long non-coding RNA from Physeter macrocephalus (sperm whale), 1747 nucleotides. RefSeq lists it as uncharacterized. The record is from RefSeq and is a predicted model, not a curated record. The transcript has 4 exons. Lineage: Eukaryota; Metazoa; Chordata; Mammalia; Artiodactyla; Physeteridae.